CAGCCGCCGCGGUAAUACGGAGGGCGCGAGCGUUGUCCGGAUUCACUGGGCGUAAAGGGUGUGUAGGUGGCUGCCAUAGUCGGGCGUGAAAUCCCGGGGCUUAACCUCGGGUUUGCGUUCGAUACUUGGUGGCUGGAGUGCGGGAGAGGGAAGUGGAAUUCCCGGUGUAGCGGUGAAAUGCGUAGAUAUCGGGAGGAACGCCGGUGGCGAAGGCGGCUUCCUGGCCCGUUACUGACGCUGAGGCACGAAAGCCAGGGGAGCGAACCGGAUUAGAUACCCGGGUAGUCCUGGCUGUAAACCAUGGGCGCUAGGUGUGGGUGGUGGUGAGCCAUCUGUGCCGAAGCUAACGCGUUAAGCGCCCCGCCUGGGGAGUACGGCCGCAAGGUUGAAACUUAAAGGAAUUGGCGGG
RNAcentral lists this ribosomal RNA (409 nucleotides) under uncultured microorganism. Its description in RNAcentral is "bacterial SSU rRNA". It matches the Rfam family "Bacterial small subunit ribosomal RNA", at positions 509 to 917 of the family's 1533-position model. The record is from RNAcentral.